AUUUAAGGUGCGUGGAUUUUUCAGACCAUGAAUUACUCAUGAAAGGAAUAUUUUGAUCUAAAAAGCGAAAGGAAAAACUUUGUAGGUUCUGAAAGCGAUCAUUAACCCUGAUCUGAUGAUUUAUAAAUAAGUACUUUACCAAGAAAAAUUAACUAGAUUAAAAUGAAGGAAUGAACUUUAAAUAAGUAGUUUGAAUCAAAGCUCGUCCUUUUAUAAUAUGAAAUGGGGAUGUGUGUAGGUUUCCGAUAGCCGAGUUUAUUAUUCGUUAAAUUUCAUUAUACAGCCGCAGGCAGUUUGACCUGCUCCACAAAAAUAUUUGUAUCUUUUUUAAACGGCACUAGGUAUAAAUAAGUAGCUAAUUGUUUUGCUGCUAGGAUUGGAUCCACUCUACCUUCAUUUAGUAUCUACAUAAGACUGUCCAUUGGCAUAUUUCGCAAGCCAGUCCAGUCAGUUCCGAGUAUCUAUUGUUUGUUUGGCCAAUUUCGUGCCACAGUCCAGUCCACAUGACAUGGGAUGACUGUUUUCGUGUUGUUUUCGUUUGUUUGAUGGUUAAACAGUUCGAUUAACACGCACCGCACUGACGUUAACUGGUCUGAACAGAGAUUAUCAAGUCGAAUCAACGGAUUGUAUGUGUCCCGGAGAAGAGGUUCCGUGUGUGGGUUUCUAUAGUGUGAGCUGGAAAUUCUAAGCCAUGCGCUAAUGAAUCUAGUUAAUAUGUCAAUUCCAUAGGAAACUUAAUCACGCUCUCCAUCGGUCGACUUCUGAUUCGAUUUGCGAAAGAUCUCAGCGAGAGGUGUUAAUUGAGGGCGACUCGUUGUUUUUUAGAGAGGGGUGCACAGAGUGCACAAAAUAUACUACAGAGCACAAACCAAAUCCACAUAAGCCACCACCAAAUACAGUUCAAGAUCUUUGACUAGCUUUAUGGGUGUACCUCUUAUAAAAAGAGAUAUAAGAGCUGCUUCCAACAUCUGCUGCCAGAAAACAGAAUAAAAAUUAAUCCCUAGCCACGCGCAUCUCAAAAAAUAAUUGUAAAAGAUUCUCUACUCAUAUAAAAAUAUUAUAAAAGUAAAUAUUAGGAUGCUGGAUAGCCUGACCAUUUUAAAAAGUUCUUUUUGUCGGGGGCAGUGCAAAUAAUUAGCUAACAAAAGCUCGAAAAUAUUGUUUGCAGGCUUCGGUUGUGCUGUACUGGGUUGUGGCUGUGUGUCACUGAGAAAGUUCAACACUUGUCGCAUUCGCCUUGAUAAGUUGCUUGAACUGUCUGAAAGUUCUCUCCGUGAAUCACGAUGAAAAACAG
Molecule: long non-coding RNA, 1294 nt
Filed under: Drosophila guanche
Lineage: Eukaryota; Metazoa; Arthropoda; Insecta; Diptera; Drosophilidae
Source: RNAcentral